RNAcentral lists this ribosomal RNA (453 nucleotides) under uncultured bacterium. RNAcentral's name for it is "partial 16S ribosomal RNA". It matches the Rfam family "Bacterial small subunit ribosomal RNA", at positions 29 to 523 of the family's 1533-position model. The record is from RNAcentral.
AACGAACGCUGGCGGCAGGCUUAACACAUGCAAGUCGAACGAGUAGCAAUACUAGUGGCGCACGGGUGAGUAACACGUGGGAAUCUCCCUUUCAGUACGGGAUAACGUCGGGAAACUGACGCUAAUACCGUAUACACCUCCGGGUGAAAGAUUUAUCGCUGAAAGAUGAGCCCGCGUCAGAUUAGCUAGUUGGUGGGGUAACGGCCUACCAAGGCUCCGAUCUGUAGCUGGUCUUAGAGGACGAUCAGCCACACUGGAACUGAGACACGGUCCAGACUCCUACGGGAGGCAGCAGUGGGGAAUAUUGGACAAUGGGGGCAACCCUGAUCCAGCCAUGCCGCGUGAGUGAUGAAGGCCUUCGGGUUGUAAAGCACUGUCGAGGGGGAGGAAGCCGCAAGGUUGACCUAUCCCUGGAGGAAGGACGGGCUAAGUUCGUGCCAGCAGCCGCCGUAA